This 468-nucleotide ribosomal RNA is filed under the name uncultured bacterium. RNAcentral's name for it is "partial 16S ribosomal RNA". It matches the Rfam family "Bacterial small subunit ribosomal RNA", at positions 28 to 507 of the family's 1533-position model. The record is from RNAcentral.
GACGAACGCUGGCGGCGUGCUUAACACAUGCAAGUCGAACGGAAAGGCCCUGCUUUUGUGGGGUGCUCGAGUGGCGAACGGGUGAGUAACACGUGAGUAACCUGCCCUUGACUUUGGGAUAACUUCAGGAAACUGGGGCUAAUACCGGAUAGGAGCUCCUGCUGCAUGGUGGGGGUUGGAAAGUUUCGGCGGUUGGGGAUGGACUCGCGGCUUAUCAGCUUGUUGGUGGGGUAGUGGCUUACCAAGGCUUUGACGGGUAGCCGGCCUGAGAGGGUGACCGGCCACAUUGGGACUGAGAGAGGGCCCAGACGCCUACGGGAGGCAGCAGGGGGGAAUAUUGCACAAUGGGCGGAAGCCUGAUGCAGCAACGCCGCGUGCGGGAUGACGGCCUUCGGGUUGUAAACCGCUUUCGCAUGUGACGAAGCGUGAGUGACGGUAAUGGGUAAAGAAGCACCGGCUAACUACGUG